UGGUUAUUGACUGAUCAGCCCGUUUUGUUGGUGCAUUGGGUCAAUAGCUUAUCUGCCGUGGGUUUUGGUUGGCCGAUUUUGGGCCAACUAAGGCUGAGGGCUCCGCGUAAGCGUGAGGACGGCAGAGGGACGACGCGAUUCGACCCGUCUUGAAACACGGACCAAGGAGUCUAGCGCAGCUGCGAGUCAAAGGGUGUUAAAACCUGAGGGCGCAGUGAAAGCAAGUUUUUAAAACGAGCAGUUUGAGGCGGCAUACAAUCGUUGAUUGUAGGUCCGACCUAUAGCAGUUGCGCUGGGACCCGAAAGAUGGUGAACUAUGCCGGAGUAGGGCGAAGCCAGAGGAAACUCUGGUGGAGGCUCGUAGCGGUGCUGACGUGCAAAUCGCUCGUCCAACUCGGGUAUAGGGGCGAAAGACUAAUCGAACCAUCUAGUAGCUGGUUCCCUCCGAAGUUUCUCUCAGGAUAGCGGGCCGACUGACGUUGUUUUGUGCGGUAAAGCGAAUGAUUAGCGCACUCGGGGAUGCUUAGUCUUCGGGCGAUUCUCAAACUUUCAAUGCGCAAGGGUGCCGCUGCUUUGUUGAGCGGCACCGGCAAAAACGU
Molecule: ribosomal RNA, 599 nt
Filed under: Pterothamnion sp. LLG-2014
Lineage: Eukaryota; Rhodophyta; Florideophyceae; Ceramiales; Ceramiaceae
Description: eukaryotic LSU rRNA
Rfam family: Eukaryotic large subunit ribosomal RNA
Source: RNAcentral